RNAcentral lists this ribosomal RNA (494 nucleotides) under uncultured bacterium. RNAcentral's name for it is "partial 16S ribosomal RNA". It matches the Rfam family "Bacterial small subunit ribosomal RNA", at positions 30 to 507 of the family's 1533-position model. The record is from RNAcentral.
AUUGAACGCUGGCGGCAUGCUUUACACAUGCAAGUCGAACGGCAGCGGGGAGGAGCUUGCUUCUCUGCCGGCGAGUGGCGAACGGGUGGGUAAUACAUCGGAACGUGUCGAGAAGAGGGGGAUAACCACCCGAAAGGGUGGCUAAUACCGCAUAAAUUCUGAGGAAGAAAGCUGGGGACCUAGGAAUAGGCCUAGCGCUUUUUGAGCGGCCGAUGUCGGAUUAGCUAGUUGGUGAGGUAAAGGCUCACCAAGGCGAAGAUCUGUAGCGGGUCUGAGAGGAUGAUCCGCCACACUGGGACUGAGACACGGCCCAGACUCCUACGGGAGGCAGCAGUGGGGAAUUUUGGACAAUGGGGGCAACCCUGAUCCAGCCAUGCCGCGUGUAUGAAGAAGGCCUUAGGGUUGUAAAGUACUUUUGUUAGGGAAGAAAAGUCAGCUGUGAAUAAUGGCUGAUACUGACGGUACCUAAAGAAUAAGCACCGGCUAACUACGUG